This is a long non-coding RNA of Mastomys coucha (southern multimammate mouse), 876 nucleotides long. RefSeq lists it as uncharacterized. The record is from RefSeq and is a predicted model, not a curated record. Lineage: Eukaryota; Metazoa; Chordata; Mammalia; Rodentia; Muridae. The transcript is spliced from 4 exons.
ACCGGAUAACAUCUGCUCCCUUUGGUCCAAUGCGCGCCUAGAAAAGCCGCGCGCCCGCCUCGCGUUCUGAGCCGGAGCGAGAGGCGCUUCAGAGGAGGGACCGACCUGCCGGAGCCGGCCGCCCCGCCGAGCUGCAGUCGCCGCCGCCGCAGCCGCUGUCGCUGUCAGAGCCCGUCCGAAGAGUGACACCUUCGCGAAAAGACAGGAGCUGUGAAACAUUUGCACACGUAGUCUUCGGAUCCCAGGUCCCCACUCAUGAGCCUGAGGCUGUGAGACAUGUUCCAUGUGCCAAGGGGAGUUCUCACCAAAUCUUCUGAGGCUGUCCUAGUCAUACACUGUUCGGUCUGAGUCAGCAUUACCAGCUUAUCCAAGAGAAGUACUAUCAUAUUCAUUAACAACGUCGAAAGUAGCCUACUUUAAGAGAAAAUAUGCAGAAGAAGAAGAUUUACAUCAAGAUUACCAUGGGUAUUUUCCAAAACACCUGAUAUUACCCGAAGACAGGACUUGUAUCCUCAAACUGUCUCUGGAGAAGCUCAGGUUUCUUGAAGACCCAGAAACCUACCUAAGAAGGUCUGUGUUAAUUAACAAUUUGCUGAGGAAGAUACACCUAGAGACGGAGAAAGAGAGCUAUGAAUACUUCAAGGAAGCUCCCUGCUAUAAGACUGCUUAUUCCGAUACAAGAAAACGGCUGAAGUUUAUGGUACAGGAGUGCUGUUCCCAGUCUCUCUACUAUGAAGAGCUGCAUUCCUACCACAUUGUGCCUUACACUUCGGAGAAUGCCAUCUAUGGGAUGGGCUACACCGGUGACCACUUGGAGCAAAAUUCUCAGUUGCUCAUUUAUAAAAUGAAUUAAAAAGUAACUGUUAAGUUCAUUGA